Molecule: transfer RNA, 75 nt
Filed under: Christensenellaceae bacterium
Lineage: Bacteria; Bacillati; Bacillota; Clostridia; Christensenellales; Christensenellaceae
Description: tRNA-Glu
Rfam family: tRNA
About the family: Transfer RNA (tRNA) molecules are approximately 80 nucleotides in length.
Source: RNAcentral
GGUCCCAUCGUCAAGCGGUCAAGACACUGCCCUUUCACGGCAGAAUCGUGGGUUCGAAUCCCGCUGGGAUCACCA